This is a long non-coding RNA of Rhineura floridana, 3684 nucleotides long. RefSeq lists it as uncharacterized. The record is from RefSeq and is a predicted model, not a curated record. The transcript has 5 exons. NCBI's taxonomy places the organism in Eukaryota, Metazoa, Chordata, Lepidosauria, Squamata, Rhineuridae.
ACAAACGUGUACUUCCCGAGGCUUAUUUGUCCAAGCUUCUGAGCAUGCGCGCACAAGAGCUGACUGCCUGGGACACGCCAUGCGCAACGGUAUCCCAGCCACAGUUCUUUGGGGAAAAAACAAAUAGCCCAGCUUGCUGGAAGUCCUAACUCCGUCCUCGGCUGCUAGGUCUUGGGGUGGUGUGGACUAGCAAUCUGAUGCCUUCAUCAGGCCUCGCUGCAGCUGAUGAAUAGCAAGACUGAACAGGCUAUUUUUGGACAUGGAAUAGUAUCCAAAUAUCGCACUCCAUCUGCAAUCUGUUACCAUCUUUGAAUUUGUUCAUCUAAUUCUGAGAGUUAGCCUGGAGUCUUGGAGAUGUGAACUGCAACCCCGAGCAUGCUUACAAGGAAACAAAAGGGCACUGAACUUUUUCCAAAUGUAGCUGAUGAUGGGUUCCAGUCUCAUUGCUCUGACACUGACUCAUUGUGUAGUCUUGGCUGGCUCAGCUUUUGCAGGCUUGGGCUCCAAUCCUAGAAAAAAACCCUGCUGAAGGCAGUGGGGUUUAUUUCUAAAUAAACCUGCACAGGGUUGGUGUGCCAGUGUGCAAAAUGAGAAUAAUAGUGACCUAGCUGAAAGGAUUCCAGCAAAAACCUUUGCCUUUUUAAAUGGUUUUUUAAUUUGUUUUUGUAAAUUUAUUAACAAUAAAAAAGAAAUGAAAUAAAAAGAGAAAGGAAAAAGAAAGGGAAAACCAACCAACCUUGUCAGCUUGCCUUAACAAACAUUAAUACAUCCAUCUUAAUUUGCACAUACAAAUUGAUAUGUUCCAUACAAAGGCUGACUAGAUAUCCAAACGAAAUGGGUGUUUAUAGAUUACGUUCAUAUAAAGCAAUGGGUGUUAAGGUCUUCAAACCAUUGUGUAAUAGAAGGUGAGUGUUUAUCCUUCCAGGGUCAAUGAAACCUUUGACUUAAUCUCCAAAUGAAACAGAGCCAGUUAAUGCAACUGCACAUUAACACCUCCACUCCCGCCAGUGCUUGAAUUACAGGGACCUGUUUGGAACACCCCAUUAGCUAUGAGUGUCAGAAGACUAUUAUUAUUACUUAUUUUUAAAAUUUAUAUCCGUCCCUUCCUCCCAGAAGGAGCCCAGGACAGCAAACAAAUUCACUAAAAGCACUCUAAAACAUCUUGAAAACAAAAUACUUUAAAACAUAUUAAAACAAAGUAUCUUUACAUCUUUUAAAAACAUCUUUAAAAACGUUCUUUCAUCCAUCAUUUGUAUGCCGCCUUUCCACAAAAAAAUUGUGCUCAAGGCAACAAGGUGAACAGACAUACAUCUCCAACACAAUUGCAAAAACAAUUUCCUAAUAACAAACGAAAUAAAACAGUAACAACAACAAAUAUAACAGCAUAUAAACAUAAUAUUAUGAACAUAAUAAACAGUCUAUCAAUCAUAAAGAUUUAACAAUCAUUUUAAAAAGCAGUUCCAACACUGGGAUAAGGUCUCUACUUAAAAGGCUUAUUGAAAGAGGAAGAUCUUCAGUAGGCACCAAAAGGUAACAGAGAUGCCACCUGUCUAGUAUUUAAGGGGAGGGAAUUCCAAUUGAUUGGUGCCACUACACUAAUGGUCCGCUUCCUAUGAUGUGCGGAACGGACCUCCUGAUAACAGGAUACCUUAUUUGCAAGGUAGAUAUCUUGGUAUUCCAUAUGACCAAAGGAUAUGUAUAGCCGGUUGUACUGUCCCUGACGAUGUAUUUCAUUAUAUCUUAGACUGCCAAUUGUUUGAUUAUCCAAGGGCAAAAUUUUUAUUUUCAAUUCUCGAUACAUUAACUAAUUUUAAUAGUUUUCAGAAAGUAAUUUUUCUUUUAUCUUCGCCCCAGCCGGACGUAGUAAUUUCUACAGCUAAUUUUGCCUUGGCCGCUAAGAAACUCAGAACCAGUUUUAUUAAGACAAAUAGUUAAAAAUUAAAUUUUUCACAUUUUAAUCAUGAAAUGUAUCUAUGCUAAAUGUUAUGAUUGUACUGCUCUUUUGUAACAGCCUAUGGCUAUAUACAAAUGAAAUGAAAUGAAAUGAUAACAUCAUACAUACAUACAUAUUUUAACCACUUCUGUGCUGGAUCCUUGCCCCUCUUGGCUAGUGAAAGCUGGCAGGGUUGGAACAGCCAGCUGGGCCAGGGAAGUGAUAAAUGCCUCCUUGAGAGAGGGAGUGGUCCCUAGUCGUUUAAAAGAGUCGGUAGUGAGACCACUCCUGAAGAAACCUUCCCUGGACCCAGAUAAUUUGAACAACUAUAGACCGGUAGCGAAUGUCCCAUUCCUGGGCAAGGUCUUAGAGCGGGUGGUUGCCAGCCAGCUCCAGGUGCUCUUGGAUGAAACCGAUUAUCUAGAUCCAUUUCAAUCCGGUUUUAGGCCCGGUUUUGGCACAGAAACAGCCUUGGUCACCCUGUAUGAUGACCUAUGUCGGGAGAGGGACAGAGGGAGUGUUACUCUGUUGAUUCUCCUUGAUCUCUCAGCUGCUUUUGAUACCAUCGACCAUGGUAUCCUUCUGGGGAGACUCACGGAGUUGGGAGUUGGUGGUACUGCUUGGCAGUGGCUCCACUCCUACUUGGUGGACUGUCUCCAGAAGGUAGGGCUUGGGGAACACUGUUCGAUACCCAGGACUCUCCAUUGUGGAGUCCCGCAGGGAUCUUUUUAACAUCUACAUGAAGCCGCUGGGUGCAGUCAUCAGGAGCUUUGGAGUGCAUUGUCACCAGUAUGCUGAUGACACGCAACUCUAUUUCUCCUUCUCAUCUUCCUCCGGUGAGGCUGUUGAUGUGCUGAACCGUUGCCUGGCCGUGAUAAUGGACUGGAUGAGAGCUAAUAAACUGAGGCUCAAUCCUGACAAGACCGAGACGCUGUUGGUGAGUGCCUUCUCUGCCCAGAUGGUGGAUGUUCAACCUGUUCUAGAUGGGGUUACACUCCCCCUGAAGGAACAGGUUCAUAGCUUGGGGGUUCUUUUCGUUCCAUUCCUGUCUCUUGAGGCUCAGGUGGCCUCGGUGGCACGGAAUGCGUUCUAUCACCUUUGGUUGGUAGCCCAGCUACGUCCCUAUCUCGAUAGCGACGACCUCGCUUCAGUUGUGCAUGCUCUGGUAACCUCUAGAUUGGAUUACUGCAAUGCGCUCUACGUGGGGCUGCCUUUGAAGACAGUUCGGAAACUACAGCUAGUGCAAAACGCAGCAGCUAGACUGUUGACGAGGACCAGGCGAUCCGCCAUAUAACACCUGUUCUGGCUCGUUUGCACUGGCUACCUAUUUGUUUCCAGGCCAAAUUCAAAGUGCUAGUUUUGACUUAUAAAGCCUUACACAGCGCGGGACCACAAUACCUAGCGGAACGCCUCUCCCGAUAUGAACCCACCUGGUCACUACGUUCAACAUCAAAGGCCCUCCUCCGAGUUCUGACCCACAGAGAAGCUCGGAGGGUCGUUACAAGAUCUAGGGCCUUUUCAGUGGUUGCCCCCGAAUUAUGGAACAGCCUUCCCGAUGAGGUGCACCUGGCGCCUACACUUUUAUCCUUUCGGCGCCAGGUUAAAACCUUUUUAUUCUCCCAGGCAUUUUAAUCUAUUAUCUUAAUCUAUUUUUAGCUCUUAAUGUAUACCAGGUUGUUUAAUUGUUAAUAUGUAUGCUUUUACUGUUUCUUGUGAUUCUAUUGUAUUUUAUUCCCUGUUGUGCACCGCCC